GACGAACGCUGGCGGCGUGCUUAACACAUGCAAGUCGAACGGAAAGGCCCUGCUUGCAGGGUACUCGAGUGGCGAACGGGUGAGUAACACGUGGGUGAUCUGCCCUGCACUUCGGGAUAAGCCUGGGAAACUGGGUCUAAUACCGGAUAGGAGCCAUUUUUAGUGUGAUGGUUGGAAAGUUUUUUCGGUGUAGGAUGAGCUCGCGGCCUAUCAGCUUGUUGGUGGGGUAAUGGCCUACCAAGGCGGCGACGGGUAGCCGGCCUGGGGGGGGGGACGGCCAAGGUGGGGCUGAGAGCAGCCCCAGCUCCGCACGGGGGGGGGGAGGGGGGAAUUGUGACAAAGGGGCGCAGGCUGUAUGCAGCGACCCCGGGGGGGGAAGGGCGGCCUUGGGUUUUAAACUUCUUUACGAGAGGGCAAAAGCUUUUUGGGAGGUUCCUUAAAAGAGAGGCCCGCACUAGCUCCGUC
This 465-nucleotide ribosomal RNA is filed under the name uncultured bacterium. RNAcentral describes it as "partial 16S ribosomal RNA". It matches the Rfam family "Bacterial small subunit ribosomal RNA", at positions 28 to 507 of the family's 1533-position model. The record is from RNAcentral.